Molecule: transfer RNA, 361 nt
Filed under: uncultured Microcystis sp.
Lineage: Bacteria; Bacillati; Cyanobacteriota; Cyanophyceae; Chroococcales; Microcystaceae
Description: partial 16S-23S ribosomal RNA intergenic spacer
Rfam family: tRNA (bases 136-209)
Source: RNAcentral
AAAGGGAGACCUAAUUCAGGUAAAAGACGAAAAAAAAGUAGUCGCUACCAAGAAUCAAUCCCAAAAGGUCGGAGCGAGGCGAAAUUGGCUUUCAAACUAGGUUCUGGGUUCAAACAAGACCUGAAUCAGGAACAAGGGCUAUUAGCUCAGGUGGUUAGAGCGCACCCCUGAUAAGGGUGAGGUCCCUGGUUCGAGUCCAGGAUGGCCCACCUGCACAGGUGGCAAAAACAAGAGAAGCUCCGAAUCAGCACCUUAUCUUACUUAUAUAGUAAGAGAGAAUGCUGGCUCUGAGUAAAGAGUCCAGAGGAACCUUGAAAACUGCAUAGAGCUAGGUGAAAAAGCCAAAAAAGAAGACCGCAAG